Molecule: long non-coding RNA, 1277 nt
Filed under: Callithrix jacchus (white-tufted-ear marmoset)
Lineage: Eukaryota; Metazoa; Chordata; Mammalia; Primates; Cebidae
Description: lncRNA (ENSCJAG00000071710.1)
Source: RNAcentral
UGGGAGGCCAAGUUGGGUGGAUCAUGAGGUCAGGAGUCCGAGACAAGCCUGACCAACAUGGUGAAACCCUGUCUUUACUAAAAAUAGAAAAAUUGGCCGGGCGCGGUGGCUCACGCCUAUAAUCCCAGCACUUUGGGAGGCCGAGGUGGGUGGAUCACGUGGUCAAUAGAUCGAAACCAUCCUGGUCAACAUGGUGAAACCCCGUCUCUACUAAAAAUACAAAAAUUAGCUGGGCAUGGUGGUGUGUGCCUGUAAUCCCAGCUACUCAGGAGGCUGAGGAAGGAGAAUUGCCUGAACCCCGAAGGCGGAGGUUGUGGUGAGCCGAGAUCGCGCCAUUGCACUCCAACCUGGGUAACAAGAGCGAAACUCUGUCUCAAAAAAAAAAAAAAAAAAAAAAUUAGCUGGAUGUUGGUGGCAGGCCCCUGUAAUCCUAGCUACUCAGAAGGAUGAAGCAGGAGAACCGCAUGAACCCGGAAAGUGGAGGUUGAGAUCGUGCCACUGCACCACUCCAGCCUGGCGAGGGAGCACGACUCCAUCUCAAAAAGAAAAAAAAUAAAAAUAAAAGAAGCUGCUAAGCUGAUAUGAAUUCUCAUGUCAGUAAACCAUUUAUAUGUGUUUAUGUUUGAGGUGGUUAGAAAAUGUAGCACAGACUCAGAGAGAAAAAUAAUUUUUUUUUUUUUUUUUUUUGAGACGGAGUUUCGCUCUUGUUACCCAGGUUGGAGUGCAAUGGCGCGAUCUCGGCUCACAGCAACAUCCACCUCCUGGGUUCAGGCAAUUCUCCUGCCUCAGCCUCUCGAGUAGCUGGGAUUACAGGCACUCGCCACCAUGCCCAGCUAAUUUUUUGUAUUUUGAGUAGAGAUGGGGUUUCACCAUGUUGACCAGGAUGGUCUCGAUCUGUUGACCUCGUGAUCCACCCGCCUCGGCCUCCCAAAGUGCUGGGAUUACAGGCUUGAGCCACCGCGCCCGGCCUCCCCAUUGUUAACCAAUGCAUGACUGUCCUCUUUACAGAUACUGCAGAUAGAACUUCCGUGUUUAAAAAAUGUAUCAUAGCAAAUUUGCUUGUCAAUCUAACGAAAUAUGAUUUUUUGCUGAGAUAUAACUUGAACAUUUAAAUUAAAUGUUUUCAAUCUUGUGAAUAAGCCUGUCUCUCUUAAGAAUGUCAGAACAAUGAACAAAAGGUAAAGUAUAUUUUUUCUAAAGGAAAAUAGAAUUGAUUUACGAAUAUUAUAUACUGCCACUUGGGGGCAGUCUUUACUCAUUUAAAGCGACUGUGAUCC